This 551-nucleotide ribosomal RNA is filed under the name uncultured Glomeromycotina. Its description in RNAcentral is "SSU rRNA". It matches the Rfam family "Eukaryotic small subunit ribosomal RNA", at positions 548 to 1098 of the family's 1831-position model. Lineage: Eukaryota; Fungi; Glomeromycota. The record is from RNAcentral.
UUGGAGGGCAAGUCUGGUGCCAGCAGCCGCGGUAAUUCCAGCUCCAAUAGCGUAUAUUAAAGUUGUUGCAGUUAAAAAGCUCGUAGUUGAAUUUCGGGAUUCAUCCGUUGGUCGGGCUUCACGGUCCGUACUGGUGUGAUGGGUUCCUACCUUCUGAAUAACCGGCAUGCCAUUAAUUUGGUGCGCCGGGGAAGCAGAACUAUUACCUUGAAAAAAUUAGAGUGCUUAAAGCAGGCAAGUGCCUGAAUAGGUUAGCAUGGAAUAAUAAAAUAGGACGGCAUGGUUCUAUUUUGUUGGUUUCUAGGAUCACCGUAAUGAUUAAUAGGGAUAGUUGGGGGCAUUAGUAUUCAAUUGUCAGAGGUGAAAUUCUUGGAUUUAUUGAAGACUAACUUCUGCGAAAGCAUUUGCCAAGGAUGUUUUCAUUAAUCAAGAACGAAAGUUAGGGGAUCGAAGACGAUCAGAUACCGUCGUAGUCUUAACCAUAAACUAUGCCGACUAGGGAUCGGAUGAUGUUAAUUUUUUAAUGACUCAUUCGGCGCCUUACGGGAAAC